CCAGUAGCGUGAAGGAUGACGGCCCUAUGGGUCGUAAACUUCUUUUAUAAGGGAAUAAAGUCACCUACGUGUACGUUUUUGUAUGUACUUUAUGAAUAAGGAUCGGCUAACUCCGUGCCAGCGAGCCGCGGUAAUA
Molecule: ribosomal RNA, 136 nt
Filed under: uncultured bacterium
Lineage: Bacteria
Description: partial 16S ribosomal RNA
Rfam family: Bacterial small subunit ribosomal RNA
Source: RNAcentral